AUAAUUGAAAAUUUUUUUUAUUAAUAUAAAAAUAUUAUAAAUAUAAAAUUAAGCUCUAAAAUUAUAAAAUAUGUUAGCCAACAAUUAGCAUCUAGAGCACUUAUCUAACACUGUCAACCCAUCUCACUCAGCACUCCAAAAGCAUUAAUCGACACCUUUCUAAAACAUCUUCCUCCAAUAUAAACAUAAACCACUGCUUCCCAUCAUUCAAUCUCCACAGC
Molecule: long non-coding RNA, 221 nt
Filed under: Elaeis guineensis (African oil palm)
Lineage: Eukaryota; Viridiplantae; Streptophyta; Magnoliopsida; Arecales; Arecaceae
Description: long non-coding RNA (EGUI_LNC038959)
Source: RNAcentral